GCUUGUCUCAAAGAUUAAGCCAUGCAUGUCUAAGUAUAAGCAUUAUACAGUGAAACUGCGAAUGGCUCAUUAUAUCAGUUAUAGUUUAUUUGAUAGUCACACUACUUGGAUAACCGUAGUAAUUCUAGAGCUAAUACAUGCACAAAGUCCUGACCUCUGGAAAGGAUGUGUUUAUUAGAUACAAUCAACCCUUCGGGUGCUUGGUGAAUCAUAAUAACUUUCGGAUCGACCUUUCGGUCGAUGCAUCAUUCAAGUUUCUGCCCUAUCAGUUGUGGAUGGUAGGGUAUUGGCCUACCAUGACUUUAACGGGUAACGGAGAAUUAGGGUUCGAUUCCGGAGAGGGAGCCUGAGAAAUGGCUACCACAUCCAAGGAAGGCAGCAGG
Molecule: ribosomal RNA, 383 nt
Filed under: uncultured fungus
Lineage: Eukaryota; Fungi
Description: partial small subunit ribosomal RNA
Rfam family: Eukaryotic small subunit ribosomal RNA
Source: RNAcentral